RNAcentral lists this ribosomal RNA (253 nucleotides) under uncultured prokaryote. RNAcentral describes it as "partial 16S ribosomal RNA". It matches the Rfam family "Bacterial small subunit ribosomal RNA", at positions 524 to 776 of the family's 1533-position model. The record is from RNAcentral.
UACGGGGGGGGCAAGCGUUGUUCGGAAUUACUGGGCGUAAAGGGCCAGUAGGCGGCCAACUAAGUCGGAUGUGAAAUCCCCAGGCUCAACUUGGGAACUGCAUCCGAUACUGGAUGGCUUGAAUUCGGGAGAGGGAUGCAGAAUUCCAGGUGUAGCGGUGAAAUGCGUAGAUAUCGGGAGGAACAUCAGUGGCGAAGGCGGCUGCCUGGCCCAAUACUGACACUCAGGUGCGACAGCGUGGGGAGCAAACAGG